Transfer RNA from Rhodotorula graminis WP1, 91 nucleotides. It matches the Rfam family "tRNA". From Rfam's summary of the family: Transfer RNA (tRNA) molecules are approximately 80 nucleotides in length. Their secondary structure includes four short double-helical elements and three loops (D, anti-codon, and T loops). The record is from Rfam. NCBI's taxonomy places the organism in Eukaryota, Fungi, Basidiomycota, Microbotryomycetes, Sporidiobolales, Sporidiobolaceae.
GGGGCUGUGGCGCAGUGGCAGCGCGUCUCUUUUGCAGUGCCUCUAGGUACCAUCGUAGAGAAGGCCAGGGGUUCAAACCCCCUCAGCUCCA